Molecule: long non-coding RNA, 865 nt
Organism: Daphnia pulex (common water flea)
Lineage: Eukaryota; Metazoa; Arthropoda; Branchiopoda; Diplostraca; Daphniidae
Exons: 3
Source: RefSeq, a predicted model, not a curated record
AAGUGUCGCUUUACAAACUAGGAUGGAGGCAUUACUUUCCAGGCUACUGCCACGUCGACCAAAUUCGCCUAUAAAACCUGGAUGAAUUCAUAGUUAAAUCAAUCGUUUCCCAAGCAGCAACAGUCAGCUCUUCAACAUGCAAUCGCACAAGAUUUUUGUGGCUAUGUUGGUCGUAGUAAUGGUCUCACUGGCUACUGCUAAACCCGUUCCCGGAUACAAAAAAGGAUCGGAUCCUAAUGCUGAAGCCCAAUUGCAUCGCAACAUCAAGAAAGAAUACGGAAAUGAAAAACGGUACGAAACUUUGAAAAACUCCAACGUUAAAUUCGUUCAAGCAGAAGAAAAGUCUUUCGCCGCCAAAAACCCACCAGCUGCAGUUAUAGCCCCAGCAGUAGUUCCGGAUAAGAAUAUCGGAGUUGCACCGGAUCGCAAAUGUCCUCUGCCAAAGCAAAUGGAUUCAAAGGGAAACUGUCGCGAACCUUGGGGCCGCUGAAACUGUUGAGUUUUGAAUUUCAAAAUGCUUGGCUUUUGGAGGACAAUAUUGGAGUCGCUUCACCUACUACCCAGUCAUGUUUACCGAGCACUGAAUACUAUUCAAUAUUCUAAACCCCAUAUUCUAAACGCCAAAAACCCACCAAAUGCAGUUCCGGCCAUAAGAAACCUUUCUUGGGCUAAAUUUGCAGACACACCCAUAUCCGCCACAGCUGAGGUGUAUUGACUUCACACGUCCAUCCGGAAUACCCUCAUUCUCCACUUCUACUUUUCCGUCAUGUAACCCACUAUAUUACUUGAUUUGCUGGCCACUCCAGAAUAUUCCAUUAUUAGCAUUACUGAAUUGAUUUGCCAAAAUAUAUUUUACUGCAUUGCA